CCUCAUCUUCAGAAUGGAAAUGAUCAUCCUUACUGCUCACGCUUCUAUAGGAAGGGGAGUUACCCAUGGAUGGGACACUACUCUGAGUGUCCACCUGGAGUUGAGCUCUGGGAGAACUCAGUCAUUUCUAUCUGUUUACAGCGAUUCAGCACCCCAUUAGGAACUUCCUCAGCAAACCCGAGAAAGAGAUCAGGCAAGACUUGUGCUGGGCAGACCCUUUGGAGUGAGGCUUUCUGUGCCGGGCAGGUAUUCCCUCUUAGUCCUCGAUCCGUUGCAGCUAAUCAGUAACCAAGGACCAUGUGACCACUGCUCACAGAGACUUGAUCAUGCAGGUGAUGAUGGUGAAUUAGAGGAAUACGACCUCCCAAGGUAAAACUACUUUCUCUCUCUUUCUGGGAAUAUGACCCUGCUCUUUGUGAGUUUCUCAUAGCCUGCACUGAACAUGGUCCUAAGAUCACUCACCCAUCAGUCUCAGGGAUUUGUAGGUUGGAGAUUUGUGGAGCCUCAUUGGUUCAUUUGCCAGUUGUCUGAGAUUAUGCUUUUAUGCACAGUUGCUUGGAUACCCCUGGUGUCCUCCUGGCCCUGUGGUCUCAUCUGUCCCUCCUCCUAGUUCUCUAGCCAAGAGUUCGCCUCCCUGCACACAUAUCAGUGCCUGGGAAUUCUUUCUGAGGGAAUUUCCCAUUCAGUCAGACAGAGGACAAGUAGUUUUUCUUUUGACCAACCUCUCCUUAGACCAGCCCUCCCUGGUCUUCUGAUAAGUCUUGUUUCUUUCUCAGGUCCCCAGAACCACAUUGGGCUUCCUUUUGGCACAUCCUUGUGCAUUUCUCUUUCUCCCUUCCUGCUUUUCUAGCCAAAAUCUCUAUGUCAGUGAGCUUAUACAUUUGCAUGACUUCCUUUGUCCCCUCUGUCUUACUCUCAAAUUUGCAUUCUUGACAUAUUCUUCCUCUUCUCAUCUAAAGUGUUUUCCUGUUCUUCAUCUUCCUUAGUGACAUGACCAUUGUUGAUAUUCAGACCUGGAUCUGGUAACUUUGAAUUCUUUCUUUUAGUCAUCCUCUGUAUCCAAUCUGAUAUAAGUAUAUGCUUUCCUGGAAAUAGCUAGAUUUCAUCCUUCUCUUUCCUAUCAUUAUCCUGGACUAGGGUCUCACUAUCACAUUCAUUUAUUCAUUCGUUCAACAAACAUUUAUUGGGCACCUAGAAAGUGGCAGACCCUCAGUAGAGGGGUCAUGAAUACUGCAUUCCUAAAGUCUCCCCACUCAUUUCCCUUCCUCCAUUCUUUCUUGCAGUUCUA
Molecule: long non-coding RNA, 1288 nt
Filed under: Canis lupus dingo (dingo)
Lineage: Eukaryota; Metazoa; Chordata; Mammalia; Carnivora; Canidae
Description: lncRNA (ENSCAFG00020000798.1)
Source: RNAcentral